Molecule: ribosomal RNA, 494 nt
Filed under: uncultured bacterium
Lineage: Bacteria
Description: partial 16S ribosomal RNA
Rfam family: Bacterial small subunit ribosomal RNA
Source: RNAcentral
GACGAACGCUUUCUUCUUUCUUAACACAUUCAAGUCGAACGGAAAGGCCUGCUUUCCCUUGUGGAUUGCGGGUACUCGAGUGGCGAACGGGUGAGUAACACGUGAGUGAUCUGCCCCCAACUUGGGUAUAAGCCUGGGAAACUGGGUCUAAUUCCCGAUAGGACUGCAGGGUGGUGCCUGUGGUGGAAAACGAUUUUCUAGUGGUUGGGGAUGAGCUCGCGGCCUAUCAGCUUGUUGGUGGGGUAAUGGCCUACCAAGGCGGCGACGGGUAGCCGGCCUGAGAGGGUGGACGGCCACAUUGGGACUGAGAUACGGCCCAGACUCCUACGGAAGGCAGCAGUGGGGAAUAUUGCACAAUGGGCGGAAGCCUGAUGCAGCGACGCCGCGUGGGGGAUGACGGCCUUCGGGUUGUAAAAUCCUUUCGACCGCGAGGAAGCCACCUGGUUGGAAGGGUGGUGACGGUAGUGGUAGAAGAAGCACAGGCUAACUACGGG